AUUGAACGCUGGCGGCAUGCUUUACACAUGCAAGUCGAACGGCAGCGCGGGCUUCGGCCUGGCGGCGAGUGGCGAACGGGUGAGUAAUGCAUCGGAACGUGCCCAGUAGUGGGGGAUAGCCCGGCGAAAGCCGGAUUAAUACCGCAUACGACCUGAGGGUGAAAGCGGGGGACCGAAAGGCCUCGCGCUAUUGGAUCGGCCGAUGUCGGAUUAGCUAGUUGGUGGGGUAAAGGCUUACCAAGGCGACGAUCCGUAGCUGGUCUGAGAGGACGACCAGCCACAUUGGAAGUGAGACGCGGGCCAGGCCCCCACGGGAGGCAGCAGGGGGGAAUAGUGGAAAAUGGGCGAGAGCCUGAUCCAGCCAUGCCGGGUGUGUGAAGAAGGUCUUCGGAUGGGAAAGGACGUUAAGUUGGGAGGAAGGGCAGUAAGGUAAUACCUUGCUGUUUUGACGUGACCAACAGAAGAAGCACCGGCUAACUUCGUG
This 484-nucleotide ribosomal RNA is filed under the name uncultured bacterium. Its description in RNAcentral is "partial 16S ribosomal RNA". It matches the Rfam family "Bacterial small subunit ribosomal RNA", at positions 29 to 507 of the family's 1533-position model. The record is from RNAcentral.